Long non-coding RNA from Hemicordylus capensis (graceful crag lizard), 1685 nucleotides. RefSeq lists it as uncharacterized. Lineage: Eukaryota; Metazoa; Chordata; Lepidosauria; Squamata; Cordylidae. The transcript is spliced from 3 exons. The record is from RefSeq and is a predicted model, not a curated record.
UCGAGUAGGGCCCAAGCAAGCCAGGAAGGAGGAGGCAGCCAGAGUGUUCUCUGCAGCAGAAGACCACUUGCGGCCCUGCUUAACCCAGACCAGCAUUUGCCAGCAGGAACAUCCAUAACCAUUCUGGUUUGGUUUGAUGGAACUACCCUGGAAAGCAUUCAAAUGUCUAUAGUGAAUAUAGAAAACCAAAAGGCCUUUAACAAGGGGAGUAAACCAAUUCUCUCCAUGUUCUAUAGGGGGGAAGCUGAAUUAUUUCCUCCAGUAUUUUGCAAAACUGAUGAAAGAUAGGUGCAUUCCACUGCUUGAUCCCAAAAUAAAUCAAACAUUGUGCCCAUAGAAGGGUUUUGAUCAUUUCUAAUUGUUAUCACAUGCUUCUGCUUAUCCAAAACAUAGUAUACUAACACAGAGAAAGUAUUCUAAAUGGACCAUAGUAUAAAGAAGCAAUAGACAGCUGGAUGAUGACAACUAUCUAUAAUUUUCAUUCAAGUUUUCACCAGAUCAGUUUCACUAGCUGAUAGACAAAGCUUCUUUUAAGUAAGGGAAGGGUGGCUUGCCUCUUUUGCAGUGGGAACUGCUGUGGUGAAAAUGAAAUUUCCAUUUGUGGUAUUCUUGCCCAAACGUGAAUAUAGACUCUUUUCUUCAUAGCCAUGAUGCCAUAUUGAAGGAUCUGAAAAAAGAAGUAUAAUUACGUGCAUUAACUCCUUGGGGAAUGAAAAUCUACACAGCAACAGAAGUAUCAACUGUGCCAUGUGACCUCUUCUAAAUCCCACGGCAAAAGAACUUGCAUACAUGUUGGAGAUGUUGAAUGAUUUAGAGAAGAGUUGUACUGAAGUCACUUGUACAGCUUUGGUUUUGUGUAAGAUUAUUUCAGCUCUUCGUGGAUUCUCUCACUCUCUCUCUCUGCAUUCUCCAUCAGCUCCUGCCUUCCUAAGGCUUCUCUGGUGAUUUUAUGAUUCCAGACUGAGAAGCAGCUUCUUUUGGAAAAGCCUCAAUGACUAUGUUUUUGCAUUAAUUGCCUAAUUUAUCCUUUUCACUAAUAAAAAUGAUAACUACUUUUAAACUCAGUUGCCAGAAGCCUUGCAAGGAGGAGGAGGCUUUAACAUCUGCUUCCCAGAGACAGCUGCCGCCCAGUGAUGAGAGCCUGUGUGGUUGCUGUCUGCUGUUGUCAGCCUGCCAGCCUGUGUGCCCCCUAAUGUGUGGGGCUGUGGCUGCUGCCCUGUGGGUGAGUCUGUGUGGGAUCAGGGCCAGAGGAAGUGAGUCAGCAGUUCUUGAUGGUCAGCUGCCCAGAUUAGCCAUCUUUCUGGGCUUAUAAAAGGGCUGUUGCCCUGUGGUGGAGGGCCCGCCACCAAAGGGGUGACAUCAAAGGGGGUUGCCCCUUUGGGGGAGCCACUUCGGGGGCCAACGAGGGUGAGGGCCUGGUGGUAUCUUUGGCUUCUUUUGUUUUGGGGUCCUAUGUGUUUCAGAUGUGUCUUGAUUUGUCUGGGGAUGGUAGAGAGGGGGUGUGUCCACUUACUCUGGGGUGGCUAUUUCGGUGCUGGUGGGGAAUAAAGAAAAUAAAGUUUGCAAGUCAGUACAUCAUUACAGGGGAAGGGAAGUCAGAAAUCUAUUAGCUGUUUCCCCUUCUGGCUGCCCUGCCAGCUCUUUGACCUUGGGGAGCAGUGCCAACAUCCCACAGACUCUCACCU